UCCCUGGUAGCUCAAUCAGUAAAGAAUCUGCCUGCAGUGCAGGAGACCCUGGUUCAAACCCUGGUUGGGAAG
RNAcentral lists this transfer RNA (72 nucleotides) under Bos taurus (domestic cattle). It matches the Rfam family "tRNA". Rfam says of the family: Transfer RNA (tRNA) molecules are approximately 80 nucleotides in length. Their secondary structure includes four short double-helical elements and three loops (D, anti-codon, and T loops). Further hydrogen bonds mediate the characteristic L-shaped molecular structure. tRNAs have two regions of fundamental functional importance: the anti-codon, which is responsible for specific mRNA codon recognition, and the 3' end, to which the tRNAs corresponding amino acid is attached (by aminoacyl-tRNA synthetases). tRNAs cope with the degeneracy of the genetic code in two manners: having more than one tRNA (with a specific anti-codon) for a particular amino acid; and 'wobble' base-pairing, i.e. permitting non-standard base-pairing at the 3rd anti-codon position. The record is from Rfam by way of RNAcentral. RNAcentral also lists the same sequence under 5 other names. Lineage: Eukaryota; Metazoa; Chordata; Mammalia; Artiodactyla; Bovidae.